Molecule: small nuclear RNA, 23 nt
Filed under: Arabidopsis thaliana (thale cress)
Lineage: Eukaryota; Viridiplantae; Streptophyta; Magnoliopsida; Brassicales; Brassicaceae
Description: snRNA_01824
Source: RNAcentral
AUCCAAUUUUCUAUUAUCUUUUG